UUAAAUUACAUGAAUAGUACUAAUAAUUAUUUAUAUGCGUUCAUACACGCUCAACAACAUUGGAACAUAGACCAAAUACUUGAUAUCUUGUUAAUAUAAAGAACUAAAGUAUCAUAUUUGAAAGCAAAACAAAUAAAAUCACAUAAAAGAUGUACUAGUAGUUUAAAAGAGGUCAAAGGGGAACAGAUUAAGUAUGAUCAUUCCUCGAGCUCCUUAGCCUUCAAUGUUUCCUUCACUCUUAGAAGUGUUGUCCUCCAAGCAUCAUGUGGAAUGAAGAUAUUUAAGUAGAUUGUAUAAAAUCGAUGUAAAAUUACAACAUAGUAAUAUAUAUGUGCUCAAGUCAAUUAAGCAUCCAAGUAUGAAUCCACGAAGCAGUGAUAACAAAAAGAAUUAAAAUGCUUCAGAUAAUUCUUCAUUAGAAUCCUUCAGUUAUAUUGAGAAUUCUAAAAUGCUUCUUUUCAUUUUUGAUAGGUGCUAGCAAAUGUUAUAUAAUUCACUGUUGUCAAAUAAUUAUACAAGUGCCAUCCUGGGAAAAAGAACUAUACAAUAUGGAUUUCCUCGCAAUGAUUAGAUGAUUAGAUGUAGACAAGAGGGGUUGCUCUGAUGGUAAGCAACCCCCACUUCCAAUCGAGAGGUUGUGAGUAUUAAAAUUAUAAUAAUAAUAGAUAUGAACUCAUAACUUUGACAAGAGGGGUUGCUCUGAUGGUAAGCAACCCCAACUUCCAACCGAGAGGUUGUGAGUUCAAGUCUCCCCAAGAGCAAGAUGGGAAGUUCUUGGAGUGAAGGAUGCCGAGGGUCUAUUUGGAAACAGCCUCUCUACCCAAGGAUAGGGGUAAGGUCUGCGUACACACUAUCCUCCCCAGACCCCGCUGAGUGAUUAUACUGGGUUGUUGUUGUUGAUUAGAUAUAUGAUAUGUUAAAUCUCUUGAGGUCUAGAUCAUACAACUGACAAAUUUGAACCAGCAGUUCAGUAGAUAGGCGUCAGAAGUUAUUGCAGUUGCAAGCUAGUGAAAAUCAACAAGCUGCUACUGUGCAUGAAGCUAGUAAAGUUUAGCUAAUAUUCAGUUGUCGUUAAUGGGAUUGACACAG
RNAcentral lists this long non-coding RNA (1089 nucleotides) under Nicotiana benthamiana. Its description in RNAcentral is "long non-coding RNA (NBEN_LNC036000)". Lineage: Eukaryota; Viridiplantae; Streptophyta; Magnoliopsida; Solanales; Solanaceae. The record is from RNAcentral.